AACGAACGCUGGCGGCAUGCCUAACACAUGCAAGUCGAACGAGACCUUCGGGUCUAGUGGCGAACGGGUGCGUAACGCGUGGGAACCUGCCCUUAGGUUCGGAAUAACUCCCCGAAAGGGGUGCUAAUACCGGAUAAUGUCUUCGGACCAAAGAUUUAUCGCCUUUGGAUGGGCCCGCGUUGGAUUAGCUAGUUGGUAGGGUAAAAGCCUACCAAGGCGACGAUGCAUAGCUGGUCUGAGAGGAUGAUCAGCCACCCUGGGAGUGAGACACGGCCCAGACUCCCACGGGAGGAAGAAGGGGGGAAUAAUGGACAAUGGGCGAAAGCCUGAGCCAGCAAUGCCGUGUGAGUGAUGAAGGACUUAGGGUUGUAAAGCUCUUUUACCCGGGAUGAUAAUGACAGUACCGGGAGAAUAAGCGCCGGCUAACUCCGUG
RNAcentral lists this ribosomal RNA (433 nucleotides) under uncultured bacterium. RNAcentral's name for it is "partial 16S ribosomal RNA". It matches the Rfam family "Bacterial small subunit ribosomal RNA", at positions 29 to 507 of the family's 1533-position model. The record is from RNAcentral.